ACGUUUUCUCGUGAGGUGCGGGAAUUGUCAAGCGUUAAGGCUGCACGGUUCUAGUUGUUCGGGUGUAACGAAACUAGGUCCGUGACAAGUGGUAUCAGAGCCUCGUCUGUAGGCCGUUACAAUGGCGGAAUCUCGAGAAACUGUUGAUAUUGAGAUUGAGGAGAGGGGUCGAGGUGUUGCCCAAACUGAAGUAAGGAAAACUCAAGGUAAAAGUAAGGUGAGGGAGGCCACCAACAUGAAAGGUAAACUUAACCAAAUCAUCUCAAAUAUGGGUGAUCGGGUCGAAUCUCUUAAAAGCUCCUUCGAGGCGUUGGAGGGACACGCCAUUGGAAAGCUAGAAACUCUACAAAUUAAUGUCCAAGAGGUGAUGGACACACAAUCAUCGUUGGAAAAUGAUGUCCAAACGAUGAUAGAUGAUGUUCGAGCUGUGGUAGCCGGACAAGCCGCGGUUACGGAUGAUUUUGGUCGUCUCCAAACCAAAGUCUUGGAUGCCGUUUCCGCCAUGCAUGGCCAAGUUAACCAAUUGGCUGUGAUGAUGGAAAGAAUGAGCAAAGAGCUUGAGCAAUACAAGCACUCCACUGCCGGUACAAGCGGAGGUGCCGCUUCAACUAUUGUUGCCCCGAGGAUUGAAUACCCGAAGCCUAAAAAUUAUGAUGGGCGACGGGAUGCCAAAGAUGUGAAAAACUUCUUAUGGCAAAUGGAAGUUUACUUUGAAGGCGUAAAUCUUGUUGAUGAAGCCAUGAAAGUCCGGACCGCUUCUAUAUAUCUUACCGACACCGCAUCUCUUUGGUGGCGUCGUAAGCAUGCCGAUGUUGAACAUGGAGCUAGAAGAAUUGAUACUUGGGACGAGUUCAAAAGGGAGCUAAAAAGGCAAUUUUACCUGGAUAACGUUGUGUACGAGGCCCGCAAGAAACUAAGGGAAUUGAAACAAAAAGGGAGUCAAAAAUGGAUGGAUGUACAACAUGGGUGCGAUAAGAAUUACAACGUCGCGGAGUCAAAAAUGUAGAUGAGGCAAUUGCGGUUGCCGAAUCUUUGACGGAGUUCCAAAGGAGUACGGAGUCGCAAACAAUGACUUUCAAACCAACAAAAGGGAAUUUUGGCAGAGGCGGAGGUGAUAUGCGAAAAGAUAAGCAACAGGGUAAGCCAAAUUGGAGGCCAAAUCCCAAAGUUGGUUACAAACCUGGUGGCAACAACCCAACUACUUGGCGGAAGGAGUAUGAUGAUAAAAAGGGGUAAUUUUGCUCCUCGUAGUUACUUCAUUUGCAAAGGGCCACAUCUCAUGCGGGAUUGCUCUAAACUUGGAUCCUUGACAUCUAUUACGGAGACUCAACCAGAGGCUUUCCAUGACAAGGAAGAAGGUGCAAGUCACAUGGGUUCAUUGCAACUUUUCAAUGCUUUGAAUGUCAAAACUAUUCCGAGGGCGAACGGAGAAAAAGGAUUGAUGUUCGUACUUGCCGAAAUCAAUGGACGGUAAACAUGGGCAUUAGUUGAUACCAGAGCCACACAUAAUUUCAUCACGGAGGCUUGGAUUGAAUAUUCACCAUGGAGGUGGAUUGAUGAAGACAGUAAAUGCAAUCGCAAGGCCAUUAGCGGGCGUAGUUCGAGGAGCGAAACUACGGUUGGGUUCGUGGCAUGGACCCGUUGAUAUAUCUGUGGCCCCGAUGGAUGAUUUCAAGCUAGUAUUGGGUUUGGAUUUCUUAAGGAAGGUUAAUGCUAUUCAUAUGCCUUCCUUUGGUUCGAUGUGCAUCUUGGAGAAGAGAUCAUCAUGCAUGGUUCCUACCGUUUCCAUGGGGACGGAAGCGUGACAUCUUUCGGCUAUACAAUUAGCGAAAGGAUGGAAGAAGGGUGAGCUGACAUUCAUUGCUCAAUUGUCGGUUGCAAUCGAAGUCACCACAAAUAAUGAUGACUUAUCGAAUGUUAUUGCAAAGGUCCUUGAGGAAAAUAAGGACGUGAUGCCCAAAGAGUUGCCAAAGAAACUUCCGCCUAGGAGGGAAGUAGACCAUCGCAUUGAGUUGGAGCCUGGUGCCAAACCCCCGGCCAUGACACCUUAUCGCAUGGCACCUCCGGAGUUAGAGGAACUUCGAAAACAACUUACGGAGCUUGUGGAGACGGGAAGGAUUAAACCAUCCAAAGCUCCCUAUGGCGCCCCAGUGUUAUUCCAAAAGAAGUCAGACGGGACAUUAAGGAGGUGCGUUGAUUACCGGGCACUAAACAAGGUGACGGUGAAAAACAAAUAUACUAUCCCAUUGAUUGCGGACUUAUUUGAUCGGCUUGGUAGCGCUAAGUUCUACACCAAGGUUGAUUUGCAAAAAGGCUACUAUCAAGUUCGGAUUGUGGAAGGAGAUGAGCCUAAAACUACUUGCAUUACUCGGUAUGGUUCCUAUGAAUGGCUUGUCAUGCCGUUCGGUUUGACAAAUGCGCCGGCCACCUUUUGCACCUUGAUGAACAAGAUAUUUUAUCCAUACUUGGAUAAGUUCGUGGUGGUUUAACUUGAUGAUAUUGUCAUCUAUAGCAACACGUUGGAGGAACAUGUUGAGCACUUGAAAAUAAUCUUCCAAGUGUUGCGGGAAAAUGAAUUAUACAUCAAGAAGGAGAAAUGUUCAUUUGCCAAAGAAGAGGUGCAUUUCUUGGGACAUAUCAUCGGGCAUGGUCACUUAAAAAUGGAUGGAGCCAAAGUAAAAGCAAUCAAUGAAUGGGAGCCACCUACUAAGGUGACGGAGUUGCGGUCUUUCCUUGAAUUGGUAAAUUACUACCGACGUUUCAUUAAAGGCUACUUAUCUAGAGCAGCCCCUUUGACGGAUUUGCUUAAGAAGUCUCAAGGAUGGGAGUGGACCGUGAAAUGUCAAAGAGCCUUUAACGAUUUAAGGGCGGCGGUCAUGUCAGAGCCGGUGUUGGCCUUAUCGGAUUUCAACAAAAGUUUUGAGGUUCAAACUGAUGCAUCAGAUUUUGCUAUUGGAGGUGUGCUCAUGCAAGAAGGUCAUCCUAUUGCCUUCGAGAGCCGCAAGUUGAAUGAUACGGAGCGGCGUUACACGGUGCAAGAAAAAGAAAUGACAGCCAUUGUGCAUUGUCUACGGGUAUGGCGUCAUUAUCUUUUGGGUUCCUGUUUUGUGAUCAAGACGGACAACGUGGCUACAAGUUACUUCCAAUCACAAAAGAAGUUGAGCCCAAAGCAAGUUAGAUAGCAAGAUUUUUUAGCGGAGUUUGAUUAUGUGAUGGAAUACAAACCCGGGAAGGUGAAUGUAGUGGCGGAUGCACUUAGCCGGAAGGCGGAACUUGCGGCAAUUAGUCAAGCUAUGGGUACCUUGUUAGAGGAAAUUAAACAAGGAUUGGAGCAUGACCCCAUGGCGAAAACAUUGAUGCAAGCCACUCGAGAAGGAAAAACAAGGCGAUUUUGGAUUGACAACGGGUUGCUAUACACCACUGGGCAACGGGUAUUUGUGCUUAAGUGGAGAAAUUUGCGGCGUGACGUAAUUCGGGAAUGUCAUGACACCAAGUGGGCUGGACAUCCCAGGAUAGAUCAGACAUUAGCUUUGAUUGAACGAGCAUAUUAUUGGCCGCAAAUGAAGGAUCAAGUUGAGACAUAUGUCCGGACAUGUCUUGUGUGCCAACGAGACAAAGUGGAGAAUAAAUUACCGGCGGGACUUCUUGAUCCUCUUCCCGUUCCGGAUCAACCAUAGGACAUGGUCACCAUGGAUUUCAUUAGUGCCUUGCCAAAGUCCGAAGGGUUCGAAUCAAUAAUUGUUGUUGUUGAUCGAUUUUCUAAGUAUGCUACUUUCAUUCCAGCCCCUAAGGAUUGCACUGCGGAGGAGACGGCAAGGUUAUUUUUUAAAAAUGCUGUGAAGUAUUGGGGGUUGCCGAAGCAUAUUGUAAGUGAUCGGGAUCCCCGCUUCACGGGGAAAUUGUGGACAGAGUUGUUUAAACUCCUUGGAUCGGAUUUGUACUUUUCAAGUAGUUUUCACCCGCAGACGGAUGGACAAACGGAACGGGUGAAUGCAUAGUUGGAGUGUUAUCUUCGACACUUUGUUAGUGCUAAUCAACGGGAUUGGGCGAAGUUGAUGGACAUAGCCCAAUUUUCCUACAACUUGUAGAAAAGUGAAUUCACUGGACAUAGUCCAUUUGAGCUUGCAACAGGGCGACAACCUACAACACCCCACACAUUAUCUAUGGUUAGUGAUUCUAACCGAAGUCCUGGAGCAAUCAAAAUGGCUAAGUCAUGGGGAGAUCAUGUGGACUUAGCAAGAUCUUGCUUGGAGAAAGCCCGGAAGCGAAUGAAGAAAUGGGCCGAUGUGAGACGAAGACCAUUGGAGAUCAAGUACUUGUGAAAGUGUUGCCUCAACAAUUCAAAGCCUACUACAAAGUUCACAAGGGCUUGGUUAGAAAAUAUGAAGGUUCGUUCCCCAUCCUAGCGAAAGUUGGAAGAGUUUCCUACCGGCUAGAUCUUCCAAGCACUUUAAAGAUCCACCCGAUUUUUCAUAUAAGCAUGUUGAAACCAUAUAGGCCGGACUUGGAGGAUCCAGGGAGAAACAAAUCAAAGAGAGCGCCUCCCAUCGUCACAAAAUCUUUUGAGAAAGAUGUUGAAUCCAUUUUGACGGAUCGAGUUGUGAGACGGAGAGGUGUUCCCCCUUGCACUCAAUACUUAAUCAAAUGAAAGGGAUUGCCCGAGUCCGAAGCUACUUGGGAAAAUGAGGGAAACCUAUAGCAAUUUGAGUCCGAGCUUCAGAACUACAUGGCGAUGAGGGCGUCGCCAAAUUCGGUGGGAGAGUGACUUACGCCCUACGCGGUCGCGUUCGAUCCGUCCCGGUAGCGGCCGCAAAACAGCGUGGACAGUACGCUGCAGCAGGACGGAACAUAUUGUUUUGGGCAAAAUGCAGGUUGCCUAAAAUUGUGCAAUUUUUCAGGGCGUUAUGAGGUUUUUAUAAGUCCCGACCCAGCCAUUUUGGGAGGAAAAAUACAUGAACCUGCAACGGGAUAUUUUGGUAUACAAGUAGGCAACUUGCACAACUUGUCCACUUGUGCCACUUGCAAGAUAUUAUCAAAGAUAAAAACUAAGCGCGAGUUGGCGAAAAUAUUAUCAAAGGUGCAAGCUAAGCACGAGUUGGCAAGAAUAAUAUCUACUAUGCAAGCUAAGAUCGAGUUGGCGACAACUUGCAAAGAAAGUUGUAAGCUUAUCCACUUGACGAUAACUAAGCAUGAGUUGUAAACAACUAGCACGAGUUGUGACCAACUAAGCAUAGGUUGUAAAGUAAUACAACUUGAUCUUAAGGAGGUUUAAGUUUUGCCUAUAAAUAUAGAUGGAAGUCUCAUUUGUAAAUCAUGUAAAAUUGAGUGAGUUUAUUCAUUAGAGAGAUUGUAAAGUUUUCCCUUUCAUAUAUACAAAGAAAGUUUCCCAACCUUACUUGUUUUCCAUAUAUCCCUUACUUCAAAAUUCUCUUCUCAACGUGGGUAUAAUUUAGCUUCCUUGGUUAAAUUAUUUGUGAGCGUGGAAAGACUGACUUAACGUUUUCUCGUGAGGUGCGGGAAUUGUCAAGCGUUAAGGCCGCACGGUUCUAGUUGUUCGGAUGUAACGAAACUAGGUCCGUGACAUGCAGAUCACUUGUGGCUCUUAUUACAACCGUCAUAACUAAAGAUCUUCCAGAUGUAGGCGGUGAUCGCAAGUAAGUUUUAAAACCAAAACUUUGCAUGAAUUGCUCUAUUUUAUUUUACCCACAAAAGGUUUUUAUUACUAACAUUUUAUUAUUGCCAUUUCUUUUCAUUUUCACUUGUGCUUUUUGAAUUUUGAGUCAUAGAAAGAAGCCAUAUCUUUUCAUGAAGUGCAAUCCUAUCUUACAUUCCUUAGGUGAUGAGCAUUCUCUCACGAUCUAACAUAAUUAACCUACUUUCCAUUGAUAUGUCCUUAUCUACAUUGGUUCAAUACUGGUUGUGAUUUACAUGCCUCGGGUGAUGUGCAUUCUUUCAGGAUCUAACUUAUCCUACUUUCCUUUGAUAUGUCCUUAUCUACUUCACAUGAUAUAGCACUCAUUUAUGAAACAUAUUACAGGCGCUCAAGAGAAGCUCGAUGAUACUUGCACAUCUCAUCUUGGCAGCGAGUUUAACUUUCACAGUAAAUUUAUUUUAUUAUUUCUAGUUGGAUUGUGAUUAAUGCAUUUUUAUUCGAACAAAACUCAAUUGUCUUUAUUUUCUCUUCUCGUUACGAAAAUAAUUACAAUUUUCUGCCCCGUUUUGUCUUAAUCUACUUGAAUUUAUCAAGAAUAAAAA
RNAcentral lists this long non-coding RNA (6255 nucleotides) under Olea europaea subsp. europaea. Lineage: Eukaryota; Viridiplantae; Streptophyta; Magnoliopsida; Lamiales; Oleaceae. The record is from RNAcentral.